RNAcentral lists this small RNA (923 nucleotides) under uncultured Panaeolus. RNAcentral describes it as "eukaryotic LSU rRNA". The stretch from base 637 to 923 matches the Rfam family "Eukaryotic large subunit ribosomal RNA", at positions 1 to 281 of the family's 3401-position model. Lineage: Eukaryota; Fungi; Basidiomycota; Agaricomycetes; Agaricales; Bolbitiaceae. The record is from RNAcentral.
CUUGGUCAUUUAGAGGAAGUAAAAGUCGUAACAAGGUUUCCGUAGGUGAACCUGCGGAAGGAUCAUUAUCGAAUAAACUAGGUGGGUUGUUGCUGUCCCUCUCGGGGGAAUUGUGCACGCCCUACCUUUUUUGUUUUUCCACCUGUGCACACACUGUAGGUCUGGAGGGGAAGGGAGGCAACUCCCUGACGUUUCAGGUCCUAUGUCUUUACACAUACACUAUUAAAAGUAACAGAACGAUUCAAUGGGCUCUAAGCCUAUAAACUAUAUACAACUUUCAGCAACGGAUCUCUUGGCUCUCGCAUCGAUGAAGAACGCAGCGAAAUGCGAUAAGUAAUGUGAAUUGCAGAAUUCAGUGAAUCAUCGAAUCUUUGAACGCACCUUGCGCUCGUUGGUAUUCCGACGAGCAUGCCUGUUUGAGUGUCAUUAAAUUCUCAACCUCAUCGCUUUUGUGAUGAUGGCUUGGAAGUGGAGGUUCUUUGCAGGCUGAAAAGUCUGCUCCUCUCAAAUGAAUUAGUGGGUGCCCCGCGCAAACCUAUCUAUUGGUGUGAUAAUUAUCUACGCCGUGGAUCCUUAGGAUUGCUGUAAAAAGGUGUUUGCCCUGCUUCUAACCGUCUUCGGACAACUUGAACCAUUUGACCUCAAAUCAGGUAGGACUACCCGCUGAACUUAAGCAUAUCAAUAAGCGGAGGAAAAGAAACUAACAAGGAUUCCCCUAGUAACUGCGAGUGAAGCGGGAAAAGCUCAAAUUUAAAAUCUGGCAGUCUUUGAUUGUCCGAGUUGUAAUCUAGAGAAGCAUUAUCCGCGCUGGACCGUGUACAAGUCUCCUGGAAUGGAGCGUCAUAGAGGGUGAGGAUCCCGUCUUUGACACGGACUGCCAGGGCUUUGUGAUGUGCUCUCAAAGAGUCGAGUUGUUUGGGAAU